AGCUCGUGUCGUGAGAUGUUGGUUAAGUCCGCAACGAGCGCAACCCCUAUUGUUAGUUGCCAUCAUUCAGUUGGGCACUCUAGCGAGACUGCCGGUAAUAAACCGGAGGAAGGUGGGGAUGACGUCAAGUCAGCACGGCCCUUACAUCCUGGGCUGCACACACGCUACAAUGGGUGAUACAACAGGUUGCAAUAGAGCGAUCUGGAGCCAAUCCCUAAAAUCAUCCUCAGUACGGAUUGCAGGCUGCAACUGCCUGCAUGAAGUUGGAGUUGCUAGUAAACGCAGGUCAGCACACUGCGUUGAAUACGUUCUCGGGCCUU
RNAcentral lists this ribosomal RNA (320 nucleotides) under uncultured Chloroflexota bacterium. RNAcentral describes it as "bacterial SSU rRNA". It matches the Rfam family "Bacterial small subunit ribosomal RNA", at positions 1057 to 1382 of the family's 1533-position model. The record is from RNAcentral. Lineage: Bacteria; Bacillati; Chloroflexota.